Stegastes partitus (bicolor damselfish) is the source of this 925-nucleotide long non-coding RNA. RefSeq lists it as uncharacterized. The record is from RefSeq and is a predicted model, not a curated record. NCBI's taxonomy places the organism in Eukaryota, Metazoa, Chordata, Actinopteri, Pomacentridae. The transcript is spliced from 2 exons.
AGUCUCGUCGCUCGCAUCGACCAAACUAACGAGCACCAUUUUAAACUGAUGACUGUUUGUUUAAAUUCUGUUUUACAUGACUUGGACGGCAAAGCUUCGAGAGUUGCCAAAGUUGGAUUUACUUUUUUUGCCACUUCGGGCAAUCCCAGCGGUGGUAUUUAGAUCAAUUGUGUGUUUAUUCUAAAACAAAUUAGCCGAUUAUAUUUUGUCUGCAUUACUAUUUUGUCGGUUUUAUUUACAGAUCCCGCGAACAUGGAGAGUCUGUAAAUAAAAUAAGCCCGCAAGGUAUCGACUUAUCGAGGACCCAGUUUUGCUUCAAAUGAGUGAAAAAGUUUGGGAGAAGACACAAGAGAGAGAAAGCCGUGGCAGCAUUCAGUCCUGAGCCAGACAUGGCUCACAUGUGGCCCCAAAGGCAGCAGACAGUGUAUUGAAUUACUGUAACUCAAGGUGUAAUGUGGUAGCAGUGGGGGAUAUGUAAAAACUACACAAACGGAUGUAGCACAGGCUUACUUCAGCUUCGCGUUACAGCUAUUCAGAUGGUUUUAUUUGCUUAAACUUAAUAUCUAACCGUGCAUUAGUCUAAAUGGAAGCCACACUUUUCGUCGUGGCACUCAGCUGCCAAUAGAUCACAUUAAACUGCUAUUGUUUCAACAACAUUGUGUCACCAGGUUUAUGUGUUCAUUCAGUUUAAAUGAUUCUCUUUGUAGCACCAGGGCUCAUAAAUGCAUGCUGGUAAAUAUGAAUAAUAGCUGUAUUUCUUACUUUUUGGAGAUUUUUGGAAAGUCUUGAUGUGCUCGCGUACACUCAUGAGAUGUCCGCUCCAGUGUUAGUUUGUAUUGUUGCUUCAGUAGCUGCUUAAGUCGCCCAUGUGUAUGAUUCUAACUUGCAGUGUGCCACAUCUAUGACAAAUAAAGUUUUAAGAUAA